RNAcentral lists this ribosomal RNA (372 nucleotides) under uncultured organism. RNAcentral's name for it is "bacterial SSU rRNA". It matches the Rfam family "Bacterial small subunit ribosomal RNA", at positions 526 to 896 of the family's 1533-position model. The record is from RNAcentral.
CAGAGGGGGCAAGCGUUGUUCGGAAUUACUGGGCGUAAAGGGCGCGUAGGCGGCCUGCUAAGUCGAACGUGAGAUCCCCGGGCUCAACCCGGGAACUGCGUCCGAUACUGGCAGGCUUGAAUCCGGGAGAGGGAUGUGGAAUUCCAGGUGUAGCGGUGAAAUGCGUAGAUAUCUGGAGGAACACCGGUGGCGAAGGCGGCAUCCUGGACCGGUAUUGACGCUGAUGCGCGAAAGCCAGGGGAGCAAACGGGAUUAGAUACCCCGGUAGUCCUGGCCCUAAACGAUGAAUGCUUGGUGUGGCGGGUAUCGAUCCCUGCCGUGCCGAAGCUAACGCAUUAAGCAUUCCGCCUGGGGAGUACGGUCGCAAGGCUG